AUACGUAGGGGGCGAGCGUUGUCCGGAAUGAUUGGGCGUAAAGGGCGCGUAGGCGGCCCGGUAAGUCUGGAGUGAAAGUCCUGUUUUUAAGAUGGGAAUUGCUUUGGAUACUGUCGGGCUUGAGUGCAGGAGAGGUAAGUGGAAUUCCCAGUGUAGCGGUGAAAUGCGUAGAGAUUGGGAGGAACACCAGUGGCGAAGGCGACUUACUGGACUGUAACUGACGCUGAGGUGCGAAAGUGUGGGGAGCAAACAGGAUUAGAUACCCUGGUAGUCCACACUGUAAACGAUGAAUGCUAGGUGUAGGGGGUAUCGACCCCUUCUGUGCCGCAGUCAACACAAUAAGCAUUCCGCCUGGGGAGUACGGCCGCAAGGUUGAAACUCAAAUGAAUUGGCGGGG
This 397-nucleotide ribosomal RNA is filed under the name uncultured bacterium. RNAcentral describes it as "partial 16S ribosomal RNA". It matches the Rfam family "Bacterial small subunit ribosomal RNA", at positions 523 to 918 of the family's 1533-position model. The record is from RNAcentral.